RNAcentral lists this long non-coding RNA (973 nucleotides) under Pomacea canaliculata. Its description in RNAcentral is "uncharacterized LOC112558241, transcript variant X1". The record is from RNAcentral. Lineage: Eukaryota; Metazoa; Mollusca; Gastropoda; Architaenioglossa; Ampullariidae.
GUGCUCGCUGUAGUGAGAUGCCGCAUGGCUAACACAAGGAAAUGCUGAAGAUCGGGGAUCGUGCUUAGUCAAAGCAUUGUAAUAAUGCCGACUACAAAACAGUCAACAGAUAACUCCACAGCGUGGCUGAAGAUGAGCCAAGCUGAAUGUAUAGUGAUAUUCAAUAUCCUGGAAGGGUUGUAAGAAAAUCAACUGACAUGGUAUGUGACGAGACUGGUUAUUCCCAAUCUGGAAUGAGUGGAAUUAUAAAAGAAGAACUAAAAUAUUUCAUCACUCUGCAUAUGAAACAGGAUUAUUGCUGUACCAGUAAGUGUUUUGAAGUGGCUUCUUAAAUUGCUACUUUUUUAUUAUGUGAGCUUAAGUACUUUAUUUUGCAAGGAGAGAGAUUCUUGCAGUGAGUCUGACUGGGUUUAGCUAUAAGUCAGUCUCACAAGAUAAAUGCUCCACUUUCAUUUAAGUGUCCUGUCACUUGAUAGCUUGUCAAAAUUUUAAUUUUUCCAUUUUUAAUGUUCCUGUUCAAGUAGAUUGAAAACUUUAGAUAUAGAUAUGUAAAAGAGAGAGAUAGCAUAUCUAACCAUACACUGAAAACUACUGACAUUUCAUCAAUACAUGAAAGAUGUUGCUACUCAUAACGAGAUAAUUGUUACGACAGAGCAGGCUCUUUUAGUCAAAAUGCUUCAUUGAAGAAAUAGUGGGGCAGGCUGGUAGAAAUUGUGGUGCUAGUUAUGUAGGGCAAAGGUUGGGAUACUGAGAGCAUACUUGAUUGUUUUUGUUUUGUUUUUGCAAGUCAAUAUGUUUUCCUGUUUGGUUUGCAUAUGACCCUGAAGUAGACUGUAGUUUCAUGUACAAAUGUAUUACAAUGAAACAUUUGUAUUUGACUUUUAACCAUCACAAUUUCCCUUUGUGCACAGCAGCAGCCUGGGGAUAUUAUAUCUGCCACUGCUUACAAAUAGUUUGGAAGUAACAGGCAAGA